GUCAGGGGGAGCUGGGUGGUGUCCUCAGAGGCAACAAGGAGCUGCUGGUUGUUGUCCCUCCAUUUUUUCCUUCUGACUCCAGAAGCUUGAGUGCCUUUUGCCUGCCAGAAAGCAGCACUGACAUCAGAGAGGCUUCAGCUGCCAUGCAGCCUCCGAGUCCUGAUGCUGUUUUCUGUGAUAGACGCCCAGUGCAUGCACCAGUGAGUCCUGCUGAGGGCUGGGCUGCUGUGUGAGGCUCCUCUGGGGGCUGAUGCUCAGAGGCUGAUAUCAUCGUGCUGGAACCAGGCUUUGUGGCGACAUGCCUCUCCCUCCCUCCAGCAUCCAGCUCACCCUGGCCACAUGUGCAGCCCAGGCCACGACCUCGGCCUUGGCUGGGCUCUGACGCCCAUUUAACAGUCAGAGGCUGGAAAGGGAGUUGCUGCUGUGCUAUUUUUAACCAGCUGGACAGUUAAAUAAUUCAGAGGCAGACACACACAGAGUGGUCUGGGCUGUGUGUGGAUCUGAGAGGGAACAAGAGCAUUGUAUCAACCCUGCUGGGCUUGCUUAACCUCAUCAAGCAUGGGUUCUCAGGCUCUUUAAUACAAACAUGAAACAAAAACUAAACUUUCAGAAGUAAAAUCCCUGCCUUACUGGCGUCAAUGGGACUCCUGGCUCUGAGUGCAAUGGAGCCUGGAUCACACUUAGCUGCAAGGCAAGAGCUGUUCAGUAUUUCCUUGCUUUCUAAUGCUGCAUAAUUUUUUUUCCAUGACAAUAAAACCCACUUAUGGUGUGUAGAGUCCA
RNAcentral lists this long non-coding RNA (780 nucleotides) under Parus major (Great Tit). Its description in RNAcentral is "lncRNA (ENSPMJG00000014160.1)". The record is from RNAcentral. Lineage: Eukaryota; Metazoa; Chordata; Aves; Passeriformes; Paridae.